AAAUUUCCAAAAACGUUUUGUUGUUUCGUUGUGUAGGGUGCUUGAUCAACCGUUCUUCACUGCUUGAAAAUUCAUCAAGGCCAUCGAUCCGCUGGAAUCGGACACAAAUAUUUUUUUCUGUAAGUAUGAUUAACGAAUUGAACAAAUUGACCUGUUACGGUGAGGUGAAUAGAGAAUCUACUGGAUUACUGAAACGUAGCGAGAUUCUGAAGAAAAUUUAGAUUGUUGAGUCAAUUUACUUAUUUUUCAUUCAAGUAUAUGCUGUACAGAUUGACAUAAAUCUCCAUUCUUUCCGUUCGUAAUUUUAAUUUAAUAAAGGGAAACAGCAACAAACUUGCCAACUAAAACUCAUUUCAGUUUAAAAUGCAAAAGAACAAAAGGGAAAAUUAUUAAAUUCAUGAAAUUUCGUAGAAAUGUAUUCAAAAAAAGACAACUUAGCGACUCAUAUCAAUUUUAAAUGUGUAGGUAUUUCGAUGUUUUUAUCUAAAAAAGAUCUGCUAAACUAGAAUUUUAAAAGAAUGAAAAAAAAAAUGUAUUAAAACUGCCUUAGCCUUGAUGUUAAUUUUAUUGAAUUGAAAGAGAAAAGUUAUUUGAACGGAGAAGAUUGCAGAAGAAAAAAAAAACUUACAAAAAAUAAUAGGAACCGCUUUCAUUUCCUAUAUACUAAUAUGUUUAACUUAUAAGCAAUCGCCACAGACAACAACAACAAAGUAAAAAAAAAUGUUUUAUUACAAUUCCUGUUAUAAAUGGAUAUAAUGCCACCCCCUCCCCUGCGAUCACAUACCGCUGCGAAUGAACAUGCAUAAUUACCUCCUUAUAUAGUAAUCUUCACACGAAAAUCGGAAACAGAAUACCAUCAACAUAAUAAUCGAAAUAUAUAUGGAAUGUAUGUUUUGAAUAAAACGUAUGAAAAAAAUUGAAUUGAACAUAAAAGAAACCACUUCCAAGACAAUCAAUACACACAAUGUAGUUUUGGAAGGGCACCGAGACUCUUUGCAAAUGAAAGUAGGAAAAAUAUGAGAUAAAAAAUGAAGUAUUUUACCAUGACCUAGAACUAAAUAUGAUAAAUAUUAAUAAAAAUACAAAAAAAUAAUAAUUAAAAACACAAAAGAUACUAAACUGAAUUAACCUAUAAUUUUCCAACUUUUCCACAUAAAAGAAGAAGAAAAAAUGAAAAAAAAA
This is a long non-coding RNA of Bradysia coprophila, 1182 nucleotides long. The record is from RefSeq and is a predicted model, not a curated record. NCBI's taxonomy places the organism in Eukaryota, Metazoa, Arthropoda, Insecta, Diptera, Sciaridae.